RNAcentral lists this non-coding RNA (208 nucleotides) under Paracoccus saliphilus. Lineage: Bacteria; Pseudomonadati; Pseudomonadota; Alphaproteobacteria; Rhodobacterales; Paracoccaceae. The record is from RNAcentral.
GGCAUCCCGGUCGAUGAUGGUUCCCGGGACGGUCAGGCCGCCGGGUGAAAAGGGAACGUGGUGAGGUGCGUAGCACCAAUUCCGCGACUGCCCCCGCAACUGUAGGCGGAGAGCAUAGCCCGACAGCCACUGGCGCAGCCGAGCGCCGGGAAGGCGGGAUAUGCAGCGACCCGCAAGUCAGGAGACCUGCCAUCGUCAUGUCAACCAA